ACUACACUCCCCUCUUCGACAGGCCCAUCAGGAUCAUGCUCUCGAACCGUGACCCCAGCACGCGAAAGAGCGGCAAAGGUAACAUUUUUAUCAAAAGCCUAGACGCCUCUAUCGACAACAAGGCCUUGUUCGAAACCUUUUCGAGUUUCGGAACCAUCCUCUCAUGCAAAGUUGCAACUGACGUGACCGGACAGUCCAAGGGAUACGGGUUCGUCCAGUUCGAGAAGGAGGAAUCUGCUCAAGCAGCAAUUGACAAACUAAACGGAAUGCUAAUGAACGACAAGCAAGUAUACGUGGGACACUUCAUCAGACGCCAAGAACGCUCUCGGGAAGAAAACGCCCCUACGCCGCGUUUCACUAACGUGUACGUCAAGAAUCUCCCCAAGGAGAUUGGUGAGGACGAGCUAAGGAAGACGUUUGGUAAAUUUGGAUCGAUUUCGAGCGCGGUUGUGAUGAGGGACCAGAGUGGAAACUCGAGGUGUUUCGGGUUUGUGAACUUUGAGUAUGCCGAAGCAGCGGCGCAAGCCGUUGAGAAGAUGAAUGGGAUUAGCUUAGGGGAUGAUGUGUUGUUCGUUGGGAGGGCGCAGAAGAAGUCUGAGAGAGAGCAAGAGCUGAGAAGGAAGUUUGAGGAAGAGAGGAUGAACCGGUUUGAGAAAUCUCAAGGAGCAAAUCUGUAUUUGAAGAAUCUUGAUGAUAGCGUUGAUGAUGAGAAACUCAAGGAGAUGUUCUCUGAGUUUGGAAAUGUAACCUCUUCCAAGGUAAUAGCAAAAAAAAUGCAUGCAAAUAUCUUUUUUUUAUUGAUGUUACGUUUGUGUUUGAACACAACUCCUCUAAUAAUAUGUGAAAGGUUAUGGUUAAUCCACAAGGAAUAAGCAGAGGGUUUGGUUUUGUUGCUUAUUCCAAUCCUGAAGAAGCUUCAAGAGCCGUGAGUUGCCUAAAGCUUUUUUACUCUUCUCUUUUGACAUCUGAGAUAUGAAGUAAUAUUCUUGUCUUCUUAUCUGCUUUUUAUUUUAGUUUCUAGUCUAUAUGUUUGUGUCUGUGUGUGUGCUUUAGAUUUGGGACACUGCUGGGCAAGAGAGGUUCCAGAGUCUUGGUGUUGCUUUCUAUAGAGGUGCAGAUUGUUGUGUGCUUGUUUAUGAUGUUAACUACCUCAAGUCAUUUGAUUCUCUGGACAAUUGGCACGAGGAGUUUCUUAAGCAGGUUCUUUUGCCCUUUCUACCUUUUUCUCCAAUUUUUUUUUUCUGGAAGAUUUUUCUUCUGUGAGUGAAUCUUGAAUGUUUUCUUAGGCUAGCCCACGGGAUCCAACGGCCUUCCCGUUCAUAUUGCUUGGUAACAAGGUUGAUAUUGAUGGAGGAAACAGUCGAGUGGUAAGUCAGCCUUGGCUUCUUAAUAUAGACAAAACUGAAAAGAUGAGGAAGUAAUAUUGUUAUUCUUAUGAAUGAUAUAAUAUGAUUACUAUAACAACUGAAAAUGUUUUGUAAUAACGAGUGUUAUGUUCCUUGCAUAUAUUAACUUCAGGUAUCAGAGAAGAAAGCUAGAGAAUGGUGUGCUCAAAAGGGAAACAUAUGCUAUUACGAGACAUCGGCUAAAGAAGAUUACAAUGUAGAUGAAUCGUUCUUGUGCAUCACAAAACUUGCCCUUGCCAAUGAGCGCGACCAAGAUAUGUAAGCAAGCCUCUUAUUAUCCUAAGGCUUAAAAAAAAGGAUUCUAAAAGGGGUCGUGCUCGUGGAUGAUGAAACUGUUCCAUUAAAACAUUUUUCUUUGAUUUGGCAGAUAUUUUCAGGGGAUUCCAGAGUCUGGUUCAGAGCCUGAGCAAAGAGGAGGAUGUGCUUGCUGAAGAGAAACAUCUGUUUUAGCUAUGUUUGAUUUGUGCCAUUAGUUUUCUUUGUUUGCAUUGCACCAGUUGUUGAAGUAGUAGGAAAAACUCUGUAAAGUCUGACUAAUUCUCUUACCUUAUCUUGUCCGGUUAAACCAAUAUUAAUCAAUUCCGGUUCGGUCUGCUACAUAUUUCUGUGGGGCUAUCUUUGCAACAUUCGAUUUGCAGCUUGGGAUGGUGAUCAAUAAGUUAUAUAAUUAAGCUAGCAUCAUAUUUCUUGUCAUGAGAUCAUAGUAAUGCUCUACCUUUCCUUUACCAGAUUUUGUUAUGCAUUUGGCUCUUACAUGAGAGUCGUUUACUCUUUUAUAUUUCAGGUAUGGAUCGUCUUUAAAGUAUCUAGCUGGAUAUUGGAAUAAUAUUGGUUGCUCUGUCACCAUCUCUCGGCAAGUACAAUAUAUCUCAAAGUUUAAAGUCUUGACGGAUCCAUUCACCACCCAUCAAUCUAUGGAGAAUUUUUUUUAACAUUCAUCUUUGUUCUCUCUUUCUCAGCUUUGGCAGUUGGCACGAGCCUAGUCAUUGUCGUGCAGCUAUUCCGUCUCUCUUCCCUAAAACCUAAUAAAACGUUAGUCUAAGACGAUAGACUAAUAUAGAUACUAAAAUGUAGCUUAUCAAAUAUCAACAUACUUCUUAUAAUUUUUGUUAAAUUUUUAAAAAUCUUUUGGGUAGAGGAGGAAGCAAAGAACAAAACAAGGCUAAUUUUUUUUUCUUUUUUACCAAGGCUAAGUUAGUGAACACUCUCAUGGGUCGUGGCAGGGCUGGAGAUACGUAUGAGCACAUUCAUCCUCGGUUUUGCGUAUGUGAAGCUUUGUGAUUUCAUUUUUACACACAAAAAACAUUUAUUUAUCCAUUACAAGUUUGUAAGUUGCAUGUAAUAUUGGAUAUCUGUAUAUAAUUUCUUUUUAUAUGACAAACUAUAUUACCGUUAACCUGUUAAAUGAAAAAACUGCCCUUUUGGGCAUGAUGAUGAUGACUCAUGUUGAUUGAUGUAGUAAUCGAAAUGUUGGGAUCAUGACUUGGAAAACCAGAUAUGGAUUGAGCUCUUUUCUCAGGAUCUUUUGGGCUUUGGGCUAGCCUUUCAAUUUUGUUAAAAGCAAAAGGUUGGUGUUUUAAGGUAAUGAAAACAUUAAAAUGAGAAGUAUGAGAUAACAAUUAGGAAUGAACUGCUCAUGCUUUAAUAGUUAGUGAUUACUAGAAACACAAUAGAAACUAAACCUAAUUCAAUAAAAAGGACCGGUAUGGAGAAGACCAAGGCGUUAUGGCUUACAGUAAAAGUCUGACUGGUAUAACCACAACAGCUGCGGGAGCUUGCGAUGCAGGUAGUUGCGGUUUUAAGAGAUUUGUACGACUAGUACUGCGGUUAGAAAUUGGUGCGUUUGCGAGAUACUUAUGACUGAUUAGCCACCAAAUACAACAGUGGUUAAAUAAUAAAUUAACAAUAUUUACAUUUUAUAUAAUUAUAAAAAUAUUAAACAUCAUAAUAUUAUAUAAAUAUAAAAUUAUAUUUUUAAAAUUAUAUUUUUAAAUUUUUAAAUUUUUAAAAAUUAUAAAAAUAUUUUAUUUUAAAAAUUUAUAAUAAAAAUUAAAAUAUAAUAGAUAUAUCUUUAGUAUUUCUAUUAUUUUAAUUUAAAAUUUUUAUUUUUAUUUUUGUAUUUUUAUUGUUUUUAAAAAACAAAAAAAAAAACAAAUUUUACCCUCCCGCAACCGUAAACGCUAGCUGGAACCAACUUUUGAAUUUAAGAGGUUUAAAAUAGUUUGAAUAAGCGAUUUAGAGCGGUUUGAGUGAUUGUUACAAAACGCCAAUAAUAACUACUAACCGUAAAAGCUGCGUUUGCGGAUGGUAGCGGAAAAACCAGUCAUGCCCUAAAUAAUUCCUAACAUUUUAAAUCAAGAAAACCUGUUACCAAUUAUUGUUUGGUUGUUUGAUUUAAAAUCAACUCACAAAUUUGAUUCAAAUGAUACAGUGUCACUUUAGCAUAUAUUUCAAUUCUAACAACCAUAAUAAAUGCAAAUGGAUUAAUUUUCUUAAAUUAAUCAAAUUUUAAUUAAAUCACAAAUAAUAUUUCUGCAAGAUUUUAAGAUUUUUUUUGGUUUUUUGUUCAUUCUAUAUUAUUUACGUAUUCAUCACCAUAUUGUCAUAAUUUUUUUUUACUGAUAUAAAAACUACACAAUUGAAAAGAGAUGAAAAGACUUUCCUAGCAAUAUACAUGGAUCAUAAACUCGUUAAACCCAACUUUGAGGAACUAAAUAUAGUUUUAUAUGUUGUUAUUUGGUCAAAGAACAAAAAUGGACAAACAUAUCUAUUUAUGGUACUGUUUACAAUUAUCUUUAGUCAUGACUAGAGACCAAAUCAAUAGUUGUUAGCUAUACUCCUAAAAAUAGCUAUACUCCUAAACAUAGAUGGGUGCUUGUAUUUUAAUCCAAUCGAAAUUUGUCAAAAUUUAUCGUAAAUCAAAUUAAUGUGUGAUAUUUGAAAAAAAACGAUGAACCUAUAAGAGAAAAGUGACAUCUUAAAUCUCAAAAACAUUAAAAGAAUCAUAUUGAACACGUCUAGUUACAGUAAUCCAUGAUCUGGUCAAAAUGAUCUAAAAUUAGUUUAGUGUUCUAUUUGUGGUAAUGUAGAUAAAUAUCUUAGCCAUGACCAAAUCAAUAGUUCCCAGAUUCGCAAACUCUACUCCUUAAGAUAGAUGGGUGUUUGUUCUGUACCAUUAUUAUACAAGCUAGUCAAAUGUUAUCAAUACAUUUGUUAGUAAUUAGUAUGUAUUAAAUAAUUAAAAUAAAAUAAAAAUGAUUAUCUUGAAUGCAUUAAAUUUUAUUUGAUAUGUAAUCAUGAUUAAGUUUUAACCAACAAAUUAAGAUUUUUUGUAAAACUUUAAAAUAUUAAAUUAUGUGACUUCCUUAUAACCAUUCUAUAUAUAAUAAUUUUUUUUUGAGAAAAUAUAUAUAGUUAUUUAACUUCUAAAACCAGUAUAAUAUCAUAUUAAUAUUGUUUAUUAUUCAUAAAUAUUUUGAUAUUAUAUAUGUUAAUAUAUUUUUAAAUAAUACAUUCUAAGAGGUACGUUUUCAUUAAAAAAAUGUUAUCAAUAUCUUAGACCAUUUGUAUUAUUUCUAUAAUCUAAAAUUAUAACAUAUACGAUUAUUAUGGUCUAAGGGUUUAUAAAAAAGUUUGGUUCGUUACACCUUUCAGUUUUUUUUUGUGUGUUAUAGAACUAUAUGAAUCAUCUAGUUCCAGACUCAUUGAGACAUGUUAUUUCAUCCUGAUUUUUUUAUGGUGUAUAAAAAAGCAACUACUACUGUGAAAGAGACAUCAUCAUCCUGAAAUAUGAGCCUAUAAAACACACACAAACAAGUAAAAAUACAAGAGAAGAAAGAAAAUUGUAAGUCUUUUCAUAUUAAAAAUAAAUAAUUAAGUCAUUUUCUCAUCUAUAAAUACCUUAGACACACUCUUCAGAUCGAAUCGAUUUUCCCCUCACCAAUCCUCUCGAUCAUUGGAGGAAACUAAAAGGGAAAAAAAAAUCGACAUAAGAAUAAAAACAAUUUCCCUUAAAAAUAAGGAAAUGAUAAACUUUGAAGAAAAUAUACAAAACACCAUCUCUCUCACUUAAAGCCCCUAGAGAAUCUAAUCCUCCCAUUAUUCUUUUAAGGAUCGGUGAUUCUCUAAAAAGGUAAACGCACGAGCAUGGCGGCCGCGGUUGCGACGGGGGUUGCACCGUCGACAAUGAUUGAUCAAGUUCCGAGUCCGACGGCGGCUCAGACUUCGGUUCAGGUUUCGGUUUCGGUACCGGUUCAAUCUCCAGUGGUUGCGGCUGAUCAAACGCAUCCGAAUUCAUCGCUCUACGUGGGAGAUCUAGACCCGAGAGUGGCCGAAGCACAUCUGUUCGAUCUGUUCAAACAUAUCGCUAGUGUUGUCUCGGUCCGAGUCUGUCGCGAUCAAAACCGUCGAUCUUUGGGAUAUGCCUACAUCAAUUUCAGUAACCCUAAUGAUGGUAAAAUACACGUUACUCUAUCGCUUCAUGCUCGAGUUAGGGUUUCAUGUAAUCAAACACUCUCAUGAAUUGCAUUACAAUAAAGAGAAUUAUACUAUUCACACUAGUAUUACGAUCAUCGUUUUUUUUCACCUUUUAAUAAUUAUAUUUGCGAAAACUUCAUAUACAUAUUCUUUUUUUUGUUCUUUAAAAAAACUUCAUAUUCUACUAUUCAUGCAAAUCACUAUGUUCCAAUGUAGCGUUUUGUUAGACCUGCUAUUUAAUUAUAGUCAGUAUAUUGUAACACUGAUGCAUCAUUGACAUGUAUCGUUUGAAUACAGGAGUCAGGAGCAUUCGUAGAUGUCGCUCAUGCAACUUUUCUAUAAAGAUUCUUUCAAUAGAAAAAAACUUUUCUAUAAUGAUAUGCUUGACAAAAACGUGAUUAAUUAGUGUGUUUGGGCCUUUAUAUAUGUCAUCGCAGAUGCAAGCUAGUCUUUUACUUUUACAAUAACGAUCUUAUAUAUUUCUAAGCUAUUUAUAUAUGAUUGGUUAACUAAUAAACGUGAGUUAUUUUCCUAGCUAUCCGCGCAAUGGAGGCCUUGAACUACACUCCCCUCUUCGACAGGCCCAUCAGGAUCAUGCUCUCGAACCGUGACCCCAGCACGCGAAAGAGCGGCAAAGGUAACAUUUUUAUCAAAAGCCUAGACGCCUCUAUCGACAACAAGGCCUUGUUCGAAACCUUUUCGAGUUUCGGAACCAUCCUCUCAUGCAAAGUUGCAACUGACGUGACCGGACAGUCCAAGGGAUACGGGUUCGUCCAGUUCGAGAAGGAGGAAUCUGCUCAAGCAGCAAUUGACAAACUAAACGGAAUGCUAAUGAACGACAAGC
Molecule: long non-coding RNA, 6726 nt
Filed under: Brassica napus (rape)
Lineage: Eukaryota; Viridiplantae; Streptophyta; Magnoliopsida; Brassicales; Brassicaceae
Description: long non-coding RNA (BNAP_LNC025616)
Source: RNAcentral